This 253-nucleotide ribosomal RNA is filed under the name uncultured bacterium. Its description in RNAcentral is "partial 16S ribosomal RNA". It matches the Rfam family "Bacterial small subunit ribosomal RNA", at positions 524 to 776 of the family's 1533-position model. The record is from RNAcentral.
UACGUAGGGGGCCAGCGUUGUCCGGAUUCAUUGGGCGUAAGGCGCGUGUAGGCGGCCAGGUAGGUCCGAUGUGAAAUCUGGAGGCUCAACCUCCAGCGGUCAUUGGAAACCAUCUGGCUAGAGUCCGGAAGAGGAGAGUGGAAUUCCUGGUGUAGCGGUGAAAUGCGCAGAUAUCAGGAAGAACACCAAUGGCGAAGGCAGCUCUCUGGGACGGUACUGACGCUGAGACGCGAAAGCGUGGGGAGCGAACAGG